Molecule: non-coding RNA, 1178 nt
Organism: Paramuricea clavata
Lineage: Eukaryota; Metazoa; Cnidaria; Anthozoa; Malacalcyonacea; Plexauridae
Source: the annotation of a GenBank genome assembly
AUUUAUAUUAUGCAUAGAUUGCUAAUUUGUCCUCCAGAUGCAUCGUCACCGGCGCUGUGACGUAAUGUGUGAUGGACUAUUAACAUGCACUCGUGCAUUUCAUGCUCGUGGAUUGUAGACUAUUCUGUACCUGCUUUGGAUCACAAAGAAAAUUUGCUCUGUCUCCAAUUUUGAAAAUUUCUUAAUUUAUAAAAGAAUACAUAGUAGAAACCCCACAAAGCGUAUUAAUGAAAGAGGUUUUUUUUCUAGCUCCCAGAGUUGAUGCACAGUGAAGAGCUUGCUGGUGCAGGAAGAUUACAAAUAUUUCUUCUUCAAAAUAUAGGAAUAUUACUUGGGUUUAUACUCAUGCUUUUAAUUGCAUAUUUUGAGGAAGACCUUGUCAUAUCCUGGUAAAAAAUUUUCUGGACAACCCAAAACGCAGAUAUAGAUGUAUAGAAUAUCAUGUCAUUCAUGUGAUUUAUAUGAAAAAGUUAUAUACAUUGAGGGGCCGAUUACUUGGAGCACUUUCAACCCCGGAGUUGAACUCAGCCAUGUUAAGUUACCGGGUUGAAUUUUUUUUGCGAUUACAUGGACGAUUUCAACCCGGCGAUUUCAACCCCGGGUUGAAAUGCUAUACGUUCCUGGAAGUUAAAAAAGCGGCUCCAUAGAGUCCAUUUUGUUUUCUUGUAAUAAAUAGUCACUAUACCACGCAUGCUUGAAUAACUGAUGAAUAAUUUCAGCCCUGGUUUGAAACGAUUACAUGACAUAAUUUUCAACCCAGGGCCGAGUUCAACCCGGGGUUGAACUCGGUUCUGGGUUGAAAAUUUUGUCAUGUAAUCGCGUGUUUGAUUUUGAUAGAGUUUUGUAUUACAACAGACAGGGCUGAAAUUUCAACCCGGUCAAUAGGGCUGAGUUCAAGCCCCGGGUCGAAAAUGCUCUUUGUAAUCGGUCCCUGAAAAUAUUUUAAUUACGUAAGGUGUUUUGUCCGUGCUCAAUAUAAUGUAAGGUAUUAAGCCACGGUCAAACGAGGAUGCAUGUGAGCUGAUGACAGACACGCAUUGUUACAGGGGGCAAGCAGUAAAUUAAGAUUUGGCGUUUGAAGUUUACGUUUGGCGUAUAAAUUUCAUGCUUUAACGACUACAAGCCCUCGUAGCAGUUCAAGCAUGAAAUUUAUACGCCAAACGUCAACUUCAAACGCC